GAUGAACGCUGGCGGCGUGCCUAAUACAUGCAAGUCGAGCGAACGGACGAGAAGCUUGCUUCUCUGAUGUUAGCGGCGGACGGGUGAGUAACACGUGGAUAACCUACCUAUAGAACGGGAAAACCUUGGGAAAACGGAGGUAAUACCGGAAAAUUAUUUGAAACGCCAGGUUUAAAAGGUAAAGGAGGGUUUGGCGUUCACUAUAGAUGGGACCGCGCUGCAUUAGCUAGUUGGUAAGGUAACGGCUUACCAAGGCAACGAUGCAUAGCCGACCUGAGAGGGUGAUCGGCCACACUGGAACUGAGACACGGUCCAGACUCCUACGGGAGGCAGCAGUAGGGAAUCUUCCGCAAUGGGCGAAAGCCUGACGGAGCAACGCCGCGUGAGUGAUGAAGGUCUUCGGAUCGUAAAACUCUGUUAUUAGGGAAGAACAUAUGUGUAAGUAACUGUGCACAUCUUGACGGUACCUAAUCAGAAAGCCACGGCUAACUACGUG
This 496-nucleotide ribosomal RNA is filed under the name uncultured bacterium. Its description in RNAcentral is "partial 16S ribosomal RNA". It matches the Rfam family "Bacterial small subunit ribosomal RNA", at positions 28 to 507 of the family's 1533-position model. The record is from RNAcentral.